This 543-nucleotide ribosomal RNA is filed under the name uncultured bacterium. RNAcentral describes it as "partial 16S ribosomal RNA". It matches the Rfam family "Bacterial small subunit ribosomal RNA", at positions 355 to 914 of the family's 1533-position model. The record is from RNAcentral.
UGGGGAAUAUUGGACAAUGGGCGCAAGCCUGAUCCAGCCAUGCCGCGUGAGUGAUGAAGGCCUUAGGGUUGUAAAGCUCUUUCGCCGGUGAAGAUAAUGNCGGUAACCGGAGAAGAAGCCCCCGGCUAACUUCGUGCCAGCAGCCGCGGUAAUACGAAGGGGGCUAGCGUUGCUCGGAAUCACUGGGCGUAAAGCGCACGUAGGCGGAUCGUUAAGUCAGGGGUGAAAUCCUGGAGCUCAACUCCAGAACUGCCCUUGAUACUGGCGAUCUCGAGUUCGAGAGAGGUUGGUGGAACUCCGAGUGUAGAGGUGAAAUUCGUAGAUAUUCGGAAGAACACCAGUGGCGAAGGCGGCCAACUGGCUCGAUACUGACGCUGAGGUGCGAAAGCGUGGGGAGGCAAACAGGAUUAGAUACCCUGGUAGUCCACGCCGUAAACGAUGGAUGCUAGCCGUUGGGGGGUUUACCUCUCAGUGGCGCAGCUAACGCCUUAAGCAUCCCGCCUGGGGAGUACGGUCGCAAGAUUAAAACUUAAAUGAAUUGAC